GGGCUUCCAGGGGAAAUGCUGGGCUGGGUGGGUGGGCGCUCUCCAGGGAGUAGAUCCCUCCCGGCCACCCCCAGCUCCUAGUCUGUUGGGUGUGGUAGCUCCAAGAUUUCAAAGCCCAGUCGCCGAGCCCGGUGGUUUCCGAUGCGUCCUACCCUCCCUCCUGCUGCACAUGUAGCUUGCAUUGCUGGGAAGUAAGGGGAGAUUUCCGGCCAGCACAGGCAAAGCCAGGCAGGGUGUCCCCUGAGGCGGCGCAGCAGGAGGACCACCGAGUGUGGCCCAUAUGCCCUGCAUCCGGCCCUCUCCCUGCCUUGUCCUCAGCUGAGGCCUGAGGUGAAUCGUAGGCUGGGCCGAUUCCCCACCCCUGGCCUCAGGGCGGUUCCUCCUGGGUCCAACUGCCCCAGUCCAGGCCAUCUGGGAGGCAGCCUGGGCGGGGAGAGGGAGGGAGGACGUGUGUGGAGCCACUGUCCAGCCCCCGAGACACAAACAUUUCCUUAUGUGGUGGCUCUGAGUGCCCGGGCGACACCCUAGAGGCUGCUGGGGAGGGCCAGAGCCGGACACACCCUGGGUGAUCGCAGAAACAGAGCCCCUGCCCAACAGGAUCUUGGCCUCACCUUGUGGAGGAAAGGACCCCCACCCGGCUCUUUGUCCCCUGGAGUGGCCCACAGUCCCCUAGGAGGAAGUGGUCACUGCCUCUCUACGGGAUGUUUCCCCAAAUUCCUCGUGUUUGCAGGAGAACCUGUGAGAUUAGAGCCCCUUGAUGCUUGGCUCCCCAGGGUCCGUCCUUGGUCCCUCGGUCAAGGGACAUCCAUCUCUAAACUGCCUUCCUCCCUUGGUCAAGGGACAUGCAUCUCUAAACUGCCUUCCUCCCAGCCACUACCCUUACCACCUGACACUGGGUAAGUCACCUCCUGCCUCAGAGCUCCCAUUGGCCCCAGCCCAACUUGCCCCAUCCUGAUUCAGUGGGAAUGGGUAGGAUUCAAGCCCCCUAGUUCCAGACGCAGUCUUCUGCGGUACACUAGGAUCCCAGAGCUGCAGUAGAGAAUCCAGUUAAUACAUCAGUGCACAGACUCUUCAGUUUUAAGAUUCUCUUUCCAUACUGGGGGAGGUCUCAGGAAUCUGUAGAAGGUAGAUGGGGAAAUGGACACUCAGAAGCAUCAGACGCCUCACAAUCCAGAUGCUGAUAAAAUGGCCAAACCUUGGUGUUCAAAGGGAUCUUAGUGGUCAUCUCAUUCAACCCAACUACCCAAAGCAGAAACCUCUUCUACUGCUUCCUUGAUUGCUUCCAGCGGCGGGGAACUCACUACCUUGGUAUGGUUUUGUUUCUUGUUUUUGAGAUAGGGUCUCUCUUUGUCACCCAGGCUGGAUUGCAGUGGCAUGAUCAUGGCUCACUGCAGCCUCGACUUCCUGGGCUCGAGUGAUCCUACCGCCUCAAUCCACUCCCCCUCAAAGUAGCUGGGACCAUAGGUGUGUGCCACCAUGCCCGACUGAUUUCUGUAUUUUUAGCAGAGGCAGGGUUUUGCCACAUUGCCCAGGCCAGUCUCAAACUCCUAGGCUCAAGUGAUCCUUCUGCCUUGGCCUCCCAAAGUGCUGGGAUUACGGGCGUGAGCCACCACGCCCGGCGGGUGUGUUCUGUCUUAUACUUAAAGGAAUUAAAAUUUUCCUCCUUCAG
Symphalangus syndactylus (siamang) is the source of this 1669-nucleotide long non-coding RNA. RefSeq lists it as uncharacterized. The record is from RefSeq and is a predicted model, not a curated record. Lineage: Eukaryota; Metazoa; Chordata; Mammalia; Primates; Hylobatidae.